UCCUACGGGAGGCAGCAGUAAGGAAUAUUGGUCAAUGGGCGGAAGCCUGAACCAGCCAUGCCGCGUGCAGGAAGACGGCCUUAUGGGUUGUAAACUGCUUUUGUCAGGGAAUAAACCCUCG
Molecule: ribosomal RNA, 121 nt
Filed under: uncultured bacterium
Lineage: Bacteria
Description: partial 16S ribosomal RNA
Rfam family: Bacterial small subunit ribosomal RNA
Source: RNAcentral